Molecule: long non-coding RNA, 459 nt
Organism: Etheostoma cragini (Arkansas darter)
Lineage: Eukaryota; Metazoa; Chordata; Actinopteri; Perciformes; Percidae
Exons: 3
Source: RefSeq, a predicted model, not a curated record
GUUCGUAUUGCUUUCAACACUGCCCUUUUUAGGUAUUGGUGCACUAGGCCCAUGGCGCUCAACCAGGGGGUUGGGACCCCCAUGGGGGUCACAGGAUUAUAUCUGGGGGUCGCCAGACAGUUUGGAAGAAAUAAAGAGAAGACAUAUUUUAGACUUGAUGAAUGGUUUUUACAUGAAUGUGUGAAGUUUGGUAGAUUUAAUUUGUUAUAUUCAGAGCUUUAUUUGUAAAACCGUCCUGGAACACAGAAAGGCUGCUGUUCCGGCUGGUCAAGUGGAGAGAAAAAGUCAAACGCAUCAGAAAACCACAGAGCCUGGAGCACACUGGACAAGGCUAGGUGGUAACUGCUAAAAGUAAAAAAAAGCAAAGCAUUAUUUGUCUAUUAAUCAGAGUAUUCACAAUAUUUACUUAAAAUCAGCAGGGGGAGGCGUGUAGAAACAGCUCUUUGCACCAGAUGUAGC